RNAcentral lists this ribosomal RNA (424 nucleotides) under uncultured eukaryotic phytoplankton. RNAcentral's name for it is "bacterial SSU rRNA". It matches the Rfam family "Bacterial small subunit ribosomal RNA", at positions 358 to 795 of the family's 1533-position model. The record is from RNAcentral.
GGAAUUUUCCGCAAUGGGCGAAAGUCUGACGGAGCGACGCUGCGUGAAGGAUGACGGCCUGCGGGUUGUAAACCUCUUUUCUCAAGGAAGAAGUUCUGACGGUACUUGAGGAAUAAGCAUCGGCUAACUCUGUGCCAGCAGCCGCGGUAAUACGGAGGAUGCAAGUGUUAUUCGGAAUGAUUGGGCGUAAAGCGUCUGUAGGCUGUAUAGAAAGUCUUUUGUUAAAUGCCUCGGCUCAACCGAGAUCCAGCAAAGGAAACUUCUAUACUUGAGGGAAGUAGAGGUACAGGGAAUUCCCGGUGGAGCGGUGAAAUGCGUAGAUAUCGGGAGGAACACCAAUAUGGCGAAGGCACUGUACUGGGCUUUACCUGACGCUCAGAGACGAAAGCUAAAGGAGUGAUUAGGAUUAGAUACCCCAGUAGUC